RNAcentral lists this transfer RNA (137 nucleotides) under Aspergillus udagawae. RNAcentral describes it as "Neosartorya udagawae tRNA". It matches the Rfam family "tRNA". Rfam says of the family: Transfer RNA (tRNA) molecules are approximately 80 nucleotides in length. Lineage: Eukaryota; Fungi; Ascomycota; Eurotiomycetes; Eurotiales; Aspergillaceae. The record is from Rfam by way of RNAcentral.
GACACUUUGGCCGAGUGGUUAAGGCGCAGGCCUGCUAAGCCUGUGGGUUCGCCCGCCUGGUAUGUUCCACUAUUCUUAACAUAAUCAAGUAUCAAUAUCUAACAAUCUACAACAGGGUUCGAAUCCCAGAGGUGUCG